Molecule: ribosomal RNA, 436 nt
Filed under: uncultured bacterium
Lineage: Bacteria
Description: partial 16S ribosomal RNA
Rfam family: Bacterial small subunit ribosomal RNA
Source: RNAcentral
GAUGAACGCUGGCGGUAUGCUUAACACAUGCAAGUCGAACGGGGUUCAUAGUCACCUAGUGGCGGACGGGUGAGUAACGCGUGAGAAUCUGGCCUCAGGUCCGGGACAACCACGGGAAACGGUGGCUAAUACCGGAUGUGCCAUAUUGGUGAAAGAUUAAUUGCCUGAGGAUGAGCUCGCGUCUGAUUAGCUAGUUGGUGGGGUAAAGGCUUACCAAGGCGACGAUCAGUAACUGGUCUGAGAGGAUGACCAGUCACACUGGGACUGAGACACGGCCCAGACUCCUACGGGAGACAGCAGUGGGGAAUUUUCCGCAAUGGGCGAAAGCCUGACGGAGCAAUACCGCGUGAGGGAGGAAGGCUCUUGGGUUGUAAACCUCUUUUCUCAGGGAAGAAGAAUGACGGUACCUGAGGAAUCAGCAUCGGCUAACUCCGUG